Molecule: ribosomal RNA, 468 nt
Filed under: uncultured bacterium
Lineage: Bacteria
Description: partial 16S ribosomal RNA
Rfam family: Bacterial small subunit ribosomal RNA
Source: RNAcentral
GACGAACGCUGGCGGCGUGCUUAACACAUGCAAGUCGAACGGAAAGGCCCUGCUUUUGUGGGGUGCUCGAGUGGCGAACGGGUGAGUAACACGUGAGUAACCUGCCCUUGCCUUUGGGAUAACUUCAGGAAACUGGGGCUAAUACCGGAUAGGAGCUCCUGCUGCAUGGUGGGGGUUGGAAAGUUUCGGCGGUUGGGGAUGGACUCGCGGCUUAUCAGCUUGUUGGGGGGGUAGUGGCUUACCAAGGCUUUGACGGGUAGCCGGCCUGAGAGGGUGACCGGCCACAUUGGGACUGAGAUACGGCCCAGACUCCUACGGGAGGCAGCAGUGGGGAAUAUUGCACAAUGGGCGGAAGCCUGAUGCAGCAACGCCGCGUGCGGGAUGACGGCCUUCGGGUUGUAAACCGCUUUCGCCUGUGACGAAGCGUGAGUGACGGUAAUGGGUAAAGAAGCACCGGCUAACUACGUG